GCAUAUCAAUAAGCGGAGGAAAGGAAACCAACAAGGAUUCCCCUAGUAGCGGCGAGCGAAGCGGGAAGAGCUCAAAUUUAUAAUCUGGCACUUUCAGUGUCCGAGUUGUAAUCUCUAGAAGUGUUUUCCGCGUUGGACCGCACACAAGUCUGUUGGAAUACAGCGGCACUGGUGACACCCCCGUACACGGUGCGGACGCCCAGCGCUUUGUGAUACACUUUCGAAGAGUCGAGUUGUUUGGGAAUGCAGCUCAAAUUGGGUGGUAAAUUCCAUCUAAAGCUAAAUAUUGGCGAGAGACCGAUAGCGAACAAGUACCGUGAGGGAAAGAUGAAAAGCACUUUGGAAAGAGAGUUAACAGUACGUGAAAUUGUUGGAAGGGAAACGCUUGAAGUCAGACUUGCUUGCCGGAGCUUGCUUCGGUUUGCAGGCCAGCAUCAGUUUUCCGGGGUGGAUAAUGGCGGUUAGAAGGUAGCAGCUUCAGCUGUGUUAUAGCUUUCCGCUGGAUACAUCCUGGGGGACUGAGGAACGCAGCGUGCUUUUAGCGGGGGUUUCGACCUCUUCACGCUUAGGAUGCUGGUGUAAUGGCUUUAAACGACCCGUCUUGAAACACGGACC
RNAcentral lists this ribosomal RNA (615 nucleotides) under Rhodotorula glutinis. RNAcentral describes it as "eukaryotic LSU rRNA". It matches the Rfam family "Eukaryotic large subunit ribosomal RNA", at positions 38 to 667 of the family's 3401-position model. The record is from RNAcentral. Lineage: Eukaryota; Fungi; Basidiomycota; Microbotryomycetes; Sporidiobolales; Sporidiobolaceae.